Molecule: long non-coding RNA, 1909 nt
Organism: Cyanistes caeruleus (blue tit)
Lineage: Eukaryota; Metazoa; Chordata; Aves; Passeriformes; Paridae
Source: Ensembl
CCGCCGCCGCCGCCGCUCAGCCCCGCCGGCUACAGCAGCGACUCGGAGGCUUCGGGAGGCUCCCAGCCGCCCGCCGGCCCCGACAGGAACCACGGAGCGCACGGCAAGAAGUAAGGGAGUCCCCGGGAUGGGGUCCCGUCAUCCCUGCCAGGCUACGGGAGAUGGGCUGGGAUGUUUGGGGUGCGGCCACCUUUAAAUCCUGAACUGGGGCUGAACUGGGGAGCGGGGCUGGGUUGGGAUGCUCCAGGGAUGGGAAAGGGAUAGGAAUGGGGAUGGCAAUGAGGACGAGUUGGAGGUGGGAAUGGGGUUGGGGACAGAGCCGGGGAUGGUGAUAAGGAAAGGAUGGGCUUGGGGAUAGGGAAGAGCCGCAGUCAAAGCUGGCACGCUGUGAGAAGGGUCAUCCCUGCAAGGGAUUAUCCCGCUGCCAAGGGCAGUGCCCGGAGGGCAGCAUGGGAUUACAGCAUCCCACAGGAUGCAGGUCCCAAGCAAAUGAAAGCCCUGUGCUUUGCAGGCAGGGAUGUAACCCAGUCAAAGUCUGGUGUUAUGUGGGUUCCUUAUGGGAACCUGGAGUCCCUGGCUGCAGUGGGAGCGCCCUGCCAGCCAGGACGAGGUGCGAGGCGGUGCUGGGACCUUCUGCCUUCACAGGGUGAAGGAGCGGCACCACCGGGGCCGGCCCAACAGCAGCUCGGAGUCAUCAACCAAGCACUCCCGGCACGCCUCGGAGCGGAGGAAGAGCCCGUCCCCCAGCCCGGGCCAGCGCAGCAGCUCCUGGAGCUCCAGCGGUUCCCUCUCCAAGUCCCGCUCCCGCUCCCGGGAGAAGAGAGCAGGGCGCAGCCGCUCCCGCUCGCCCUCGCCGAAAAAGCCAGCCAGCAGAGAGAAGGACAACGAGCCUCGAACACGUCACGGUGAUCCCGAUCCCGCCCGCCCUCGGCGCCGCUCCAGGAGCUACUCCCCCAUCAGGAAGCGGAGACGUGACUCCCCCAGCUUCAUGGAGCCCAGGAGGAUCACCAGGUGUGUCCUGGCAUGUGGCAAAGGCUCUGCCACCACCCGGGGAUGAGCUGCGCUGACCCCAAAGGGUGCUUGGGUGGGUGGGUGUGUGGAUGGAUGGAUGAUGGAUGGAUGAUGGAUGAUGGAUGGAUGAUGGAUGGAUGGAUGAUGGAUGGAUGGAUGGAUGGAUGGAUGGAUGGAUGAUGGAUGGAUGGAUGGAUGGAUGAUGGAUGAUGGAUGGAUGAUGGAUGGAUGGAUGGAUGAUGGAUGGAUGGAUGGAUGGAUGAUGGAUGGAUGGAUGAUGGAUGGAUGGAUGGAUGGAUGGAUGGAUGGAUGAUGGAUAGAUGGAUGGAUGAUGGAUGGAUGAUGGAUGGAUGGAUGGAUGGAUGGAUGAUGGAUGGAUGGACACACAGAUGGACAAUAGCAGCUCUGUGGAUACACAGAUAACCCUGAGGAUGGCUGGGUGAAUCAGCUGGCCCAGACAGAUGGGUAACCAGACUGCCUCCAAUACUGUGACCUUCUGAUCUCUUCCUAUUUCGAGGCAUGAAAACAGGAAUUAAUUUUAAUCCGCCUGUGCAUGUUCCAGCAAUACGCACGUUCGCAAUCACGUCUCUCCUGCCCUCCAAAAGCUGGUUUCUCCUCCUUGGGAUCCUAUUGCCUCAGGAUCCUGAGCUGUAAGACAGGCAAUAUUUCGUGCCAGACGAAACACUGUGUGCAUAUGUAGCACCUCGUUAAGAUGCAGCGCUGGUGGCGGGGCCGUGCCGAGCCGAGAUUACCUCCUUCCUGACCUAUUUGUCCCUCCCGCUAUCAGCUGGGAGAUCGGGGGGGUUGGAUUUUCAGAAAUCAGCUCUGCCUCCUUCUCUGUGAGGGAUUUUGUUUUGCCUGGGCAGGACUGGAGUUGUCAGGAGGGAGGACAGGAGAA